CUUAUUAAGAGUGGCGGAGGGAAUAGGCCCGAUGAAGCCCGGCAACCGGUUCAACCCGGUGCCAAAUCCUACGACAGCGAUGUCGGCAGAUGAG
This 94-nucleotide non-coding RNA is filed under the name chicken gut metagenome. Its description in RNAcentral is "SAM riboswitch (S box leader)". It matches the Rfam family "SAM riboswitch aptamer (S box leader)". From Rfam's summary of the family: The SAM riboswitch is found upstream of a number of genes which code for proteins involved in methionine or cysteine biosynthesis in Gram-positive bacteria. The SAM riboswitch acts at the level of transcription termination control. The record is from RNAcentral.